This 119-nucleotide ribosomal RNA is filed under the name Ice core clone 111-12. RNAcentral's name for it is "partial 18S ribosomal RNA". It matches the Rfam family "Eukaryotic small subunit ribosomal RNA", at positions 1677 to 1801 of the family's 1831-position model. RNAcentral also lists the same sequence under 1 other name. The record is from RNAcentral.
CGCUUCAACCGAUUGGAUGAUCCGGUAAAUUAUGUGGACAAGAUGUAAGUAUCCGUACUUAUAUUUUGAAAGCAGCGUGAGCCUUAUCAUCUAGAGGAUGAAAAAGUCGUAACACGGUA